This 897-nucleotide ribosomal RNA is filed under the name uncultured bacterium. RNAcentral's name for it is "bacterial SSU rRNA". It matches the Rfam family "Bacterial small subunit ribosomal RNA", at positions 8 to 878 of the family's 1533-position model. The record is from RNAcentral.
AGAGUUUGAUCCUGGCUCAGAACGAACGCUGGCGGCGUGCUUAACACAUGCAAGUCGCACGAGAAAUCCUGGGCAACUGGGAAAGUAAAGUGGCGCACGGGUGAGUAACGCGUGGGUAACCUACCCUUGAAUUGGGGAUAACUCCGCGAAAGCGGGGCUAAUACCGAAUAAUAUGCCGAUUCCCACGGGAGUUGGUAUCAAAGAUGGCCUCUGCAUGCAAGCUAUCGUUUAAGGAUGGGCCCGCGUGCCAUUAGCUUGUUGGUAGGGUAACGGCCUACCAAGGCAACGAUGGUUAGCUGGUCUGAGAGGAUGGCCAGCCACACUGGAACUGAGACACGGUCCAGACUCCUACGGGAGGCAGCAGUGGGGAAUCUCGCGCAAUGGGGGAAACCCUGACGCAGCAACGCCGCGUGGGUGAUGAAGGCCUUCGGGUCGUAAAGCCCUGUCAGGUGGGAAGAAACAUAUCGGUGCUAAUAUCACCGAUAUUUGACGGUACCACCGGAGGAAGCACCGGCUAACUCCGUGCCAGCAGCCGCGGUAAUACGGAGGGUGCUAGCGUUGUUCGGAAUUAUUGGGCGUAAAGCGCGUGUAGGCGGUCGAGUAAGUCAGAUGUGAAAGCCUUCCGCUUAACGGAAGAAGUGCAUUUGAAACUGCUCGACUGGAGUACGGGAGAGGAGAGUGGAAUUCCCGGUGUAGAGGUGAAAUUCGUAGAUAUCGGGAGGAACACCAGUGGCGAAGGCGGCUCUCUGGUCCGAUACUGACGCUGAGACGCGAAAGCGUGGGGAGCAAACAGGAUUAGAUACCCUGGUAGUCCACGCCGUAAACGAUGGGCACUAGGUGUAGGAGGUAUUGACCCCUUCUGUGCCGAAGCUAACGCAUUAAGUGCCCCGCCUGGGG